GACGAACGCUGGCGGCGUGCUUAACACAUGCAAGUCGUACGGUAAGGCCCUUUCGGGGGUACACGAGUGGCGAACGGGUGCGUAACACGUGCGUAACCUUCCCCCAACUUUGGGAUAACGCUAGGAAACUGGUGCUAAUACUGGAUAUGUUCUCCUGCUGCAUGGUGGUGGUUGGAAAGCUCCGGCGGUUGUGGCUGGACUCGCGGCCUAUCAGCUUGUCGGUGGGGUAGUGUCCUACCAAGGCGGCGACGGGUAGCCGGCCUGAGAGGGUGACCGGCCACAGUGGGACUGAGAGAAGGCCCAGACAGCGACGGGAGGCAGCAGGGGGGAAGAUUGAAGAAGGGGCGCAAGGCGGAUGCAGCAAGGCCGCGGGCGGGAGGACGGCCUUCGGGGUGAAAACCGCUUGCAGAAGGGACGAAGCUUGUUGUGACGGUACCUGCAGAAGAAGCACCGGCUAACUACGUG
This 465-nucleotide ribosomal RNA is filed under the name uncultured bacterium. Its description in RNAcentral is "partial 16S ribosomal RNA". It matches the Rfam family "Bacterial small subunit ribosomal RNA", at positions 28 to 507 of the family's 1533-position model. The record is from RNAcentral.